Molecule: unclassified non-coding RNA, 316 nt
Filed under: Hevea brasiliensis (rubber tree)
Lineage: Eukaryota; Viridiplantae; Streptophyta; Magnoliopsida; Malpighiales; Euphorbiaceae
Source: RNAcentral
GUUUACAGAUUAGUGUAAACUUACAACACAUCUAUUACCAUUCCCGUGAACUUACACUCUAUCACUAACAUGUUAGUUUCAUAUGGGUGGUUGGAUUACUUCUCUACCACCACAAACGCGUCUGAAAUUUUUUUNNAUAUUAAAUUUAAUUUGGAGCUUCUUACGCCGAUCUGCUACAAUCGGCCUUACCCAAUCCCACUCUACGAUUGGCUAAAUCAAACUCCACCCAUAGAUUCUGCUGAUGAAAAUUCCCUACGAUAUUACUCGCUGCAUUUAACAUCUCUGAUCGUCCAAUGCCUACGCAGUGGACCCCGCC